GAUGAACGCUGGCGGCGUGCCUAAUACAUGCAAGUCGAGCGAACGGACGCGAAGCUUGCUUCUCUGAUGUUAGCGGCGGACGGGUGAGUAACACGUGGAUCACCUACCUAUAAUACGGGGAAAACUUCGGGAAUCCGGCGCUAACACCGGAGAAUAUUUUGAACCGCAGGGUUCAAUAGUGAAAGUCGGUCUUGCUGUCACUUAUAGAUGGAUCCGCGCUUCAUUGGCUAGUUGGUAAGGUAACGGGCUUUCAAGGCAACGAUGCUUAGCCGACCUGAGCGGGUGCUCGGCCGCACUGGAACUUGGACAGCGUCCGUACUCCUGCGGGAGGCCGCAGUAGGGUAUCUUCCGCAGAAGGCGGAAGCCUGACGGAGCAGCGCCGCGUGAGUUAUGAAGGUCUUCGGAUCGUAAUGCUCUGUUUUUAGUGUAGAACAUAUGUGUAAGUAACUGUGCACAUCUUGACGGUACCUGAUCAGAAAGCCCCGGCUAACUACGUG
Molecule: ribosomal RNA, 497 nt
Filed under: uncultured bacterium
Lineage: Bacteria
Description: partial 16S ribosomal RNA
Rfam family: Bacterial small subunit ribosomal RNA
Source: RNAcentral